This is a non-coding RNA of Macaca mulatta (Rhesus monkey), 2103 nucleotides long. The record is from RefSeq and is a predicted model, not a curated record. Lineage: Eukaryota; Metazoa; Chordata; Mammalia; Primates; Cercopithecidae.
AUCUCCUGACCUUGUGAUCUGCCCACGUUGGCCUCCCAAAGUUCUGGGAUUACAGGCGUGAGCCACUGAGCCUGACUGAUAAUUUUACAUUAUGCAGAGUGGAGAUCAUAAUACAUACCAUUUGUUCUCCUAUUUUCAAUUAAUAUUACAUGGUGAAUAUUUUUAUAUCUUCAAAAUGUUGUCAAACAUAUUUACACAUGCAUGUGUAAAUCAAUAAUACAAUUUAGAUACCUUAGUGGAACCAUGCAACAAUAGGACUAAAAUAAAUACAUUAACAGAAUAUUUUCUCUCAUAUGGAUACUUCCUUUAAGCCAAAGCUAUUUAUUACUAAAAAGACUGAGUAAGCUUAUUUAGUAAGCUAAAAUUAGAUAUCCACAGCACCUUCUUUAUCACAGAAAUUAAUGAGGUGGGAUACUUAAUACCCCCACACAGUACAGGGUGGCUGAUAUGUAUGAUAGAAAUUUCAGUCCUUAAAAGUUAAACGGCUCUAUUCACUUAUUUUGAGGCUCUGCGAAUGAGAAUAAGGAGUUAACAUUAGACAAGUUUUCUGCUCUUAGUAUAUGAGUGAUCUAUUUAAAGGAUUACAGAUGUACAUAUGAAAUAGUUACAGAACCAUCCCGGGGAUGAGAUGAGUAGGAACGCACAGCGUAGACAGCACAUGGUAGUGUAAUGUGGAGGUGGAGUGUCAGUUUGGAUGGGUGCAAUCCAUGGAGGCUUCCUGGAGAAGAUGGACUUAGCUCUGGUUUCUGAAUAACAGAGUAUGGUAGAAUAACAUUUAUUCAUGGCCUAUUACACAUCAGUCUUCAUCUUUGGACACCUUCACAGAAUCACUGUGAAACCAUUCUCAUUUGAUACAUAGGUCUUGAACACUAGCUCCACAUAUCUGCUCUUGAAGUGGCACUGUUAAUAAGACACUUAGAAAGAACAGGGACAGCAUUGAGGCAGGGAAUGAAGCAAGUAAGAGCCUAGGGAGGCAUGAGAUCUGGGUGUGAACCCAGGCAGGUCACAAGCCAGGUGUGUAAGAGGUGAGAUUCAGUGUGAUGUUUUAUAGUGGGUUGACAGCAUGUCUAAGAUGAGAUUGAAUAGACACUGUAGGAUCAUGUGGUGGAAGACAUCAAAUAGCAAAGAGGAAUCACUCAUGACUAUACCCCAUGAUGCUGAUUCUCCCAGUGGGAUCCCAUUUAUGCUCUGACUGCAAUUUUCCAUUUGCUUGACUGAAAUCUGCUUAGAAAUACAAGCUCAAUUCGUUUACAAGUAAGUCUGUGGUCUGUAUACAUUUAUAUGUGUGUGUGUGUGUGCAAUCACAAAAUUCCAUCUUCUCCAUUAUGGUGAAAAUACAAUUAAUGCAUUUUUCAAUGAUAGUGAAAUGGGGGCCCUUUUAAAUACACACACCCUUUUACAGAUUUGUAGUCAAAAUGAAUUAUUUUCUAUUUUACUGUGGUCCUUAAGUAUUAAUAUCCACCCCUCAUAGAGUUUGGGGUCUAAUGGACAAGGUCAGCUGCAACAGGUACUACAGAGAAGAGGUACAUAGCACUUUGACAAUGUCUAAUUUUAAUUCCAGGAAGUCUUCCACAAGGAAACAUUUACUGAUUUUAAAUUUCUAGGAAGAAAAACCUGUACAAAUGCAGAAGGAAGGAAUGCUUAAACCGAGGCGAUAGCAUAUCAGAUACCCUGUGUUUUGAUAGAUCAAGGCUUAUAUUAGGAACAGGACAGAAGAAACCCUGUGGUUGAAGUGCAGAGAUCAAGAGGAAACAGCAAGUCACAUGAAAAAAAAACAUAUGGACAGGGCUGGAUCGUGCGAGGUUUGCAGUUUGAGGCUCUCCAUGAGGACCCUCUGUCACCCAACUCUUCCUUUAUGGUGCUCUUGUUCCCUCUCAUGGACUUGGUGUCUCUCACUGACUCAACUGCACUUGUUAAACUGUCUGAAGUUCGUGGAUGGCAGUCAUGAUUGAAGAAUUUAGUCCAGGUGGUAGCCAGAGCUACUUAAAUGCUUUCUGUAUCAGCCAUGGUACAGUGCUGGCUCCUGCUUUACCUUCCACCAUGAUUGUAAGUUUGCCAAGGUCUCACCAGAAGCUGAGGAGAUGCCAACAGCAUGCUUCCUGU